UUGUUUCAGAUGGAUUCGGAGAUAGACUUAGAUGGAAGUGGAAAUAAACCCGGGGCUGAAAUAGCCUCUUUUUUUUUUUUCUUCAUGGGAAUAGCUUGUAUUUUACUCUGAAUGGUAUAGCAAUGUUAUAGUAAGAUUUAAAUUUGAGAUUUAGUGUGAGCUCAUUCACCUGAAGAAGGUGAAGUACAGAGUGUGAUUAAUGAGGUUUACAGAGACAACUUUUCCAGUUAGGCAGGAAAUCUGGGGACAGUUGCAAAAUCAAUGAGCACCUCACAUUUCGAUCUUAUUUUAGAGAAAGCAGAGAUUAGGUCACUCCACAGUCAAAGCACAGAUUUCCAAGGGUACAAGAGUGCUGCAUUUCCUCAGCUGCCAUUGAUUUCCAAUAGGAAUUAACUGGCUUUUAUGCCUCCAAACAUUUUGCUUGAACCAGAGUGCUAAAAUGACUGCUAGGUGUUUAUUUGCUUGUUUUAAUCCCUCCUCAAAGUACUUUCAUGCAAACUGUCAUCUAGUUCUCUGUGGCACGCUGAAAAGUGGUGAAGCUCUUGUUGACUCAUAGGAGCAGGAUUUGGCCCUAUAAAAUGUUGUAUUGAAUACGUGGUUGUAAUUUGCUGUAAAGUUAACACACACACGUGUAACUCUGCUUUCCUUCCUGCUGCUGCUCAUCACUGUGUGUGCCUCUUUCCACAGCACUCCAAAUGCUUAAAGCUAUAUUCAAUAAAGUAGCUGGCUCACACAUGAUUUGAAUGCUGGUGAGGGAGAAGAAUUUAAACUGAAUUAUUGUCAGACGGGGAUUUGCUUUAUCAGAAUCAGGCACCGCACUGACAAAGUUUAACUCCAGGCGUGGAGAUGAACACUUUUUUCGCUGGGAGCUGGGACUGGGUGCCGUGCCAGCGCCCUCGCAGCCCUGCAUUCCUGCGCGGCAGCUGGACCCGGCAGCUGGGAAUGCAGGCGGAUGCUUCACCGGGGCCAAAUCCUGCCUGCAUGGCAGGCAAGGGGAUUGACUGCCGCAGACUGCGAGGAAGAUCCGGAUUUGGCAUAAAUAGUCUCUGAGAAUUAGGUUGCACACAACUUUUGCAGUCCCGUCUCCUUUAUGUUUUGAAGCUGUUCUCUGGGGUGUUUUGUUUUCUGUCUUAAUUUGACAGCCAGGACGGAGAACCAGAGGAGAACAGAAUAGGUAUUUUGUUGUCUGCCAUGUUACCUGAUUUGUUUUGGGCGAUCACACAAGAUAAUAGAGAUAAGCAUCACAUACUUAAUCUGUUUAGUAAAUACCUAAUUUCAGCUUCCCUUUUUUUCCUUCCAGUAGAAAAAACACUUAAUGGAGCAACACUAACCAUUAGCGAGUCCACAGCACAGUUCUUUUCCUAAAUAUGUAGGAUACUCACAUGUAUCCAUGGGAACUUACUCCUAUUAAACUCUUAAAAAAUAGUUUGCUGCCUGAAGUCGUGCUGCAGCAGAGCAAAGCAAGAGGCGCUUCUCCCUCCCAUGCUCUGCUCUUGCAACGCACUGAGUCUGUUCUGCACACCGGCAAGAAUCAACACAGCACUCAGUGCUUCCUGGAAUGGGGUCUGGAGCAUAUGACAACUGCGAUCAAUCAGAAUUAGAAAGGGGACUACGCAAGAGUCUGGAAUACUGAUUUUUCCCAUUUGUUUAUGUACACAAGAUGCACAUUUUUCAGCGGUGUGGGUGACAUCUACCAGAAGUAGUGGUGGAUUUUCCAUUUCUCCAGAUGUCUAAGUAAGGACUGCAAGUGCUUUUCUAGAAGAUGUAUUUUAAUCAAAUUGAACUACGGAGCUCAGUGCAGAAUUACUGUCAGAGUAAGUCUUCAGGGAGAUAUUGCACACAAAACCAAGUAAUCAAAGAUCAAAUUGUCUUUUAUGAACCUCAAAAUCUGUUAAUCCCCCAUUUUCUUUUAAUAUCCCAAAAAGUAUUAAUAUGAAAAUGAUUAUAAUGUACUUCAUGUGCAAAAUUUCCCAUCCAGAGGCAUUUGUACUAAUGCACGAAAAUAUACCCAGCCAUCUUAAGAUAUAGCUCCAUUUUGCAUUUUAUUGUGUUUUGAACAGGAAAUGCUUUUCAGGUGCUCAGUCCCUAAUUUCAGAAUUUCCUGACAAAAUUGUCUGCUUAUUAGGAAGCAGAUAAUAGGAGUCUAGAUGACGAGGGCUAUUUGAGGAGCCAUGUCCAAUGUCUUUUUAUGUAAACGCCUUGGUUCAUGCAGUGAGUAGCUGGUACUCGUGUGUUUGGUUAUGAAGGUCAAAGUGUACAUGGUGGGCAGCUGGAAGCUGGAGUUCUGGCAGAUGGAAUGGCGCCUCCCAUUGCUCCAUUCAGCUGUGACAGGCUUCAAAACCAAGUGCUGGCUGCACAAAAGGGAGGCAGGGAGGGCUUGGAAGCAGCAGCUCCCUGUUAGGGACUGUCACUGUAAGCUCUUGUUCUCCUAAAGUGCCAUCCUGGUGGAAUUUUGUUGUUGAGAGUGAAUUUUGCAGUUCAGGGUAGGGGAAUGUGUGAAAAGCCGCCUUUGCCUCCUUCUCAGCAUCCAUCAGCUCUGAGGGUGUGGAUGCCAUGGGGCACAGAUCCAGCCUUCGGAUGGCACUGCCUCUAAUUGCACUAAUUCUGCAUGGCCAGGCGAGCACCACUGUUUCUUGCGAUGUGGCCAAUGCUCACCCCAUCAGAUUCCUACUCAGCAGGAACUGGAAGGACUUAACUGAUCACUUGGCGAAGCAUCAGGAAAAUACUUUGCUUUUGCCAAGUUCAGAGAGGUCUUGAUACAGCAUCCACAUGAGAAAGACAGAGUGAGACGGCUCCAGAGAUGCCCAAGGCCGAGUUUUGUUAGAUCCCAAACAUGCGCUGUCAGAUGAGAUCCAUACAUUCACUACUUAAUCCUAAACUUAGAGGCUCAAAGUUAUCAUCUGUUAGUUUAGAGCCUGUAAAUGGAAUGUAAUGUUGUGGUGGAGUGGAUGACAAAGAGGUAUCGAAAACAACUGCAGCAUAAUAUCCCACGGGAUGCCCAGAGACUGAGUUGGCCGCAUUGCUUAACUCAAUAGCGUGCACCAUACAGAACCUUUUCUCGAGUUACUAACACACCAAUAUAUAAUCUCUGCAGCUUGGCAAUUGAAUCUCAUUGCAACAGUAUUUACACUCUGCAAUAAUAUGCAUAAGUCUUCAUCUGUCUUUGAAAUUGUUUUUGAACCAGAAUAAUCACUCAGGUGCAAAGGAUUAUUUAAAACCAUGGACCGUGCACAGCAUAACCCACUGAUCUGAGUGGGAUCACUCCAGAUCUACAAAGCCAUAAGCAAAAGCAAAUUUGAUCCACCACUUCUGAAAGCUUGUUUUUAAUACUUAUGUUUACAUCUGUCUUUACAGUUGAAUAUGGUCUUAAAUUCAACAUGUAUACUUUAAAUUAAAGUUAGAGCACUCUCUCCCCACUCAGAAAUUUAAGAGGCAAGUGUCCUAGUACUGGAGGAGUCACUGGAGGGAAUCUGAACCCUCUCCAAGGUCUCUAAAGAAGACUGCAUAACAGGUUUCAGGCAGCUUUAUUUCUGGAAUGUAAUUGAGAGGGUUUUUAAAAGCCCUCCCAGAUAUAAAGAACAUAGGAGGGACUUGCUUUUGUACCUCUUAAUCACAGCGCUCAUGAGCAAGUGCAUUGCACUCUCAUUCCUGCUGCCACGUGUGAAGAGUCGAGUCACCGGCAGCGUAAGUUCUGAGACGCCGCGGGGAUUUGCGCCUGUGGAGGAUCUGGCCGGCGGUGCCGCUGCCCCUGCAGCCACACUGAGCCUUUCUACUGGAAGACAUGGUCAGGGAUGCUAAAUCCAUGCGACUGCAAGCAACCACGUAAGAGAUCUGGGUCCAGAAAAACGUCUCCUUGCCUCUCGUACAUCCAAAGACACUUCUUCAGUGUCGCAACAAGCCUGAGAUCUUUGGUAGUGAAGGUUAUACCUGGCAGAGGCUACAGUGGGCCAUGGGAAAAGAUGGGAGGUCAAAGGCUUUGUCCGUGGUUUUUGCAGUGGAGGAAGAGUGUAAAUUCUGUGCUAUCAAAGGGACUUUGAGCAGUAAGGGCUCUGGCAGGAUUUUUAGGAUCUUCUAGUGUUAGAGUGUUUAAGGAGAGAUCCUUUUACAAUGGAAAAAAUACAUGUUAAUAACCCCAAGUCAUUUCCUGUGGAAACUCAAAGCGCUGUUACGCUUAGAUUUGAAAUCUUUCUCCCCCACCUCAAAAACAGAAUUGCACACUGAAAAAUAAAAUCGUCCUGCUUCACUGUGCAUGUGAGUACAAAGGAGACAGCACUGGCUUUGAGAGAGCGUUUUUGUUAUUACACAACCCAGCAUCUGCGCAGCCCCGUGCGCUGCAGUGAUGGUGCCAAACAGCUGGCAGAGAUCUGACCCGCAGAGCACGGGGUAUUGCCAGGGACAGCAGCAGGUUGGAUUUGGCAAUUUGAGUUGCCUUUUGUGUAGCUGAAGAAGCUCUUGAAGUCUCAUGCUCAGUGCAGUGCUGCUUUUGGUACGUGAUUUGUUUUUGUUCAAGGUAGGAAGGCUUUUAGUGCUAUUAAAUACCUUAUUCUACUGAUGGAAAAAUUAUAGUGUUUGUAUCUUUGAAUGCCUCCUCCAAAGGAUCAUCUCUUUCUACAGUCUAAACUCCACUCACAUGGAGCACGCAAAACCUAUGGCAAGCUUUCAUCACCACAAAUCAACCUUUUGUUAAUAAAGGGCUUCACAUACUGGAAACUCUCUUUUAUUUCCUGACUUCUGUAAUAUUUCUUUGUCCACACAGAGGAAUUACCUUCAUGUGAAUAGUCUGCAUUUCAUAAGAGCAGCCGCGAGAGGAGCUGAUGGGAGCAGCCGCUGCACGGCGGAGAUUUUUUUUGGAGGAAGCAGCAAUAGGAAAAUGGAUGUUUUUCAUCUUGGUUUUAUAAGAAUUGUAUAAAAACUCUUGACAGAUGUGAGAAAAAGGUGGAAGCCCAACGAAUCUCCUUUUGCCAAAGAAACAAUUCCCAGUGAAGCCUUGUGCUCGGUGUCUGGGUCAGAGCUCACUUGAGUCAGCAGGGGUUUUUCCCUGGGUUUCAGUGGGCUUUGGGGGAAGCCAGUGGUUAAAAACCAAACAAGAACUUAUAUUCCUUCCUCUGAACAGAGGUUCAGACCAGAGCUGGGCCCAGCUUUGGGGAUGCUUGAACUGAGCGGUGAUUCUGCCUUGGCGGCUGGCAGCACAGCGUCCUUUUUAGGGUGGAUUAUUUAAACCACUCUCGGAGCAUCACAAAGCAGCGCCGUGAGCUCUCGGGUAGUGCGGUGACUCCUGGCACAGCUCUCGGGGUGACAGCGAGGGCUGUGUGUGUGACUCAAACCCGCUUGCCUCCGCUUAGUCAUUUCUCUUGUUGUCUACCUUCUAUAGAUUUCUUCCUCCUGAACUCCUCAGAGAGACCCUCAGUGCAGGUGUGUGUGUUCUGCAGAAAAGGAGCACGUGUGGCAUCCCGACCGCACCAGGCAGGGACUCUUAUUGCUGCCAGUUUGAGCUGACUUUUGCCUCUGGGGAAGCUGAGAACCAUUUGUUAUAUUUUUAUUUUAAUGUUUCUCUGGCUUAAUUAUUUGAGGGUAUGUGUCAGAGUCUAUCACUGUCAGAUGUUGCUGCUGAAAGGGGAUUUCAGCCAGUGAAAACUCCAGCUGGGUGGGUACUUAAGCUUUAGUGAGAGCAAUGAAGUUCUUUGUUCCAGUUUUUCCAUUGCCUUUGGAUCAGACUUUGUCUCUCUUUAGAUCUGCAUUAAACUUUAUUUUGAGAGCCUUGGCCAAACAGAACAGAGAAUUUACUCCAUGUGCUUCACUUCCAGUCCUGAAAUUACCUUCAAAUCAGAAUUACCCCAGUCAUUUUUCCACCCAGGGCUGCUGUUACGAUGUGCUGUCUGAGCCCCCGUGGGCUGCGUGCCGGUCAGAGAGGUUUGUUCAGACCAUGGAAGGAUGUUGGAGCAAGCGGGAGGUGAUAGCAUGAGAGGAAACGGCCUCAAGUUGCACCAGGGGAGGUUGAGGUUGGAUCUUGGGAAAAAUUUAUUCCCAAAAAGGGCUGUGGGGCAUUGGAACAGGCUGCCCAGGGCAGUGGUGGAGUCACCAUCCCUGGAGGGUUGAACAGAAGGUAGCUGGGGUUCUCAGGGACAUGGGGUAAAGGUAGACUUGGCUGUGUUAGGUUAAUGGUUGUACUUGGUAAUCUCAAAGGUCUUUUCCAACCAAAGCUAUUCUAUGGCUCUACGCCUGCAGAAGCUGCACAAUGCCAUGGCUUUGUGGCGCCAGCUCCUCAGUGGCACUGACCUGGAGAGGUUUGUUCCCCAGGGACUCUCCCCUACGUGUCACCGUCCUGGCUGGUGGGUGGUGAGGAAAAACAGAAGCACCAGAGAGACAAUAAUAAAGAAACCAUGGGGAACUGUCUGUUUGUUUAUUGGAGGGGGGUUUGGACCCAUUUUUUAAUUUCAUGACAACUUGCAGACAAUCAGAAAAUCAUUGUUCAGAAACUCAAGGACUUAAGAAUUCAGCGCUAGGAGCACAGCUUUUUCCCUGCAGGCUGUGGAUAGCCACGUACAUUUACAAUUCUUUACUCAUCAGCCUGGGACUAGACCAGCACAUUUAUGUAAAAACACUAAUACUCUUGUUACUGAAGACAGCCCAGAGCUCAGCCCCCUACAGAUUGUCUAGAAAAUGGAAUAUUUGAUUUUCCCCCAGUAAUAGUAUCUUUUUUCUUGUUUCCUGGCAGUUUGCACAAAAGCUCUGAAGUACGUGACAUACAGCAAAGAGAACAUCAAAAUCUGCUCUGCCAUAUGAUCAGCUCACGUUGCAGUGGGCAUGUUCCUGGCUCCACAAAGCUUCACAGCCGUAAAACUAUUUCUUGCUUCCUGCUGGGAAUUUGUGCCUUAUUGCUGUCUGCAAUAAUUCAUAUGUAUUUGCUCUCAAAACAUCUAAUGUUAAUGCUUCCUUUAAAUAUAAAAUGUACCUAGGACUGGCAAAGUGGGAGUUGAUGGUCCCAGGCACAGUUAUUGUCUGGCCAUGCCUAGAAGAGACACUUGGUUGAUGCGGCUUCCCCGGGCGGUGGGUUUGAUGUGAAGAGCGUAUCUCCAUGGGGUCCAGGCUGGCAAGCUGUGGGCUGGAGCAUCUUCCUGAAGUGGGAGAAAUAGCAGAAGACGUGUUGUUUUUCACUUCCCAAAGAACUCUCGGUUCCCCCUACUCAUUUCUAACCCGUUCAGAAACAUCUCCCUGUGGCAGCAUGGAGUUGAAAGAAGUUUAUGAGGACCCAGAGGGGAGCGAGCAGAAGUGCAAACUGCUGGAUGGUCCAACCUGCCCCAGGCUGCACGUGCUCACCUGGAUGCUGCUGACAGGAGUUUCUGGAUGAGGAAUCCCCUCUUGGACCCUCAGGUUGAGGUACGGCACCGACCGACCCCUUCGCUGCCUGCUGGUCUUACCUGGCUUGCAUGUCCCAGCCAGCUGGAACAACGAUGCUUGGGUUGUGUAGCAGGGUUUGAGAAUGGCAGUGGCACAGAAAUUUUGCACUCAAGCACUAGAAAGCCUGAGAAUUCUUGACUUAGACCCAAGUCCAUUUUGAAAAAGAGGAUUUAAGCAGUUUUUUCAAUGUUACUCCGUAUAUGGUACGUGCUAUUUUUCUCUGGCAAGGGGAGCUGUCUGCACUGCAUUAUGUAUUAGGUUCUUGAAAUCAUAGCUAGUUAUGUAAUUAUUAGAAUUAUAUUUGCAUUCACAACUAGGAUGUAUAUAAAUAGUAUGGUAAUGCAUGCUAAUUAAAUACCAAUUAAUCAUUUUUAAAAAAUGAGGUUUGACUCUAUACAGCUAUCACAGAUGUAGUAAACACUUAUUGCUUAUGAAGAAUAAAUAAGGUGUGUUUUAAUAUGCAACCCUAGUCCCAUAUAAACCCAGAGUGCCAAUAAUUUAGAGCAGAUUUAAUGUGU
Columba livia (rock pigeon) is the source of this 7916-nucleotide long non-coding RNA. RefSeq lists it as uncharacterized. Lineage: Eukaryota; Metazoa; Chordata; Aves; Columbiformes; Columbidae. The record is from RefSeq and is a predicted model, not a curated record. The transcript has 3 exons.